GGUCCCUACGGGAUGCAGCAGUAUGUAAUCUUCCACCAUUUUCUAAAGCCUGAUGGAGCAACGCCGCGUGGGUGAAGAAGGUCUUCGGAUCGUAAAACCCUGUUGUUAGAGAAGAAAGUGCGUGAGAGUAACUGUUCACGUUUCGACGGUAUCUAACCAGAAAGCCACGGCUAACUACGUGCCAGCAGCCGCGGUAAUACGUAGGUGGCAAGCGUUAUCCGGAUUUAUUGGGCGUAAAGGGAACGCAGGCGGUCUUUUAAGUCUGAUGUGAAAGCCUUCGGCUUAACCGGAGUAGUGCAUUGGAA
Molecule: ribosomal RNA, 305 nt
Filed under: uncultured bacterium
Lineage: Bacteria
Description: bacterial SSU rRNA
Rfam family: Bacterial small subunit ribosomal RNA
Source: RNAcentral